UGCUGUCACAAUAACGCAUAUAUGUAAGCACACGCCCACACAUGAACAUGAAAAAGAGCAGUACUUUACCAGCAUUUGAUCUUUACAAAAGGAAGGGUUCGUAAAAAAAAAA
Molecule: long non-coding RNA, 112 nt
Organism: Octopus sinensis (East Asian common octopus)
Lineage: Eukaryota; Metazoa; Mollusca; Cephalopoda; Octopoda; Octopodidae
Exons: 2
Source: RefSeq, a predicted model, not a curated record